CAUGGCCGAGUGGUUAAGACGCCAGGCUAAUAACCUGGAGGUCGCAGGUUCGA
Molecule: transfer RNA, 53 nt
Filed under: Oxyrrhis marina
Lineage: Eukaryota; Dinophyceae; Oxyrrhinales; Oxyrrhinaceae
Description: partial tRNA
Rfam family: tRNA
About the family: Transfer RNA (tRNA) molecules are approximately 80 nucleotides in length. Their secondary structure includes four short double-helical elements and three loops (D, anti-codon, and T loops).
Source: RNAcentral